GAAGGGGGCUAGCGUUGUUCGGAAUUACUGGGCGUAAAGGGCGCGUAGGCGGCCUUGUUAGUCGAGUGUGAAAGCCCUGGGCUUAACCCGGGAAGCGCGCUUGAUACUGCAGGGCUUGAGUGUGGGAGAGGUUGGUGGAAUUCCCAGUGUAGAGGUGAAAUUCGUAGAUAUUGGGAAGAACACCGGUGGCGAAGGCGACCAACUGGACCACAACUGACGCUGAGGCGCGAAAGCGUGGGGAGCAAACAGGAUUAGAUACCCUGGUAGUCCACGCCGUAAACGAUGUGUGCUAGACGCUGGAGGACCUAGUCUUUCGGUGUCGCAGCUAACGCUUUAAGCACACCGCCUGGGGAGUACGGCCGCAAGGUUAAA
This 372-nucleotide ribosomal RNA is filed under the name uncultured bacterium. RNAcentral's name for it is "bacterial SSU rRNA". It matches the Rfam family "Bacterial small subunit ribosomal RNA", at positions 527 to 898 of the family's 1533-position model. The record is from RNAcentral.